UGGAGAGGUGGCAGAGUGGUCGAAUGCGCCUGACUUGAAAUCAGGUGAGCCGCAAGGUUCCGGGGGUUCGAAUCCCCCCCUCUCCGU
RNAcentral lists this transfer RNA (87 nucleotides) under Planktothrix agardhii. RNAcentral's name for it is "tRNA-Ser". It matches the Rfam family "tRNA". From Rfam's summary of the family: Transfer RNA (tRNA) molecules are approximately 80 nucleotides in length. Lineage: Bacteria; Bacillati; Cyanobacteriota; Cyanophyceae; Oscillatoriales; Microcoleaceae. The record is from RNAcentral. RNAcentral also lists the same sequence under 4 other names.